AGUGCAGAUAGGAACCGUGCUCAGGCUGCCUUUAAAGUCCCCAAGGUCCCCAAGAAGUCAUCAGAGUCCUCUGCUGCACGAAGACCCAACCCGAUUGGUUCCAAGAUCGGAGGUGCGUCUAAGGAUGGAACUGGGGGCAUUGAUGAGGAAGACUUCAUCAAAGCUUUCACUGACGUCCCCACAGUACAGAUCUACUCAUCUCGUGACCUGGAGGAUAACCUGAAUAAGAUCAGGAGAUC
Molecule: non-coding RNA, 239 nt
Organism: Salmo salar (Atlantic salmon)
Lineage: Eukaryota; Metazoa; Chordata; Actinopteri; Salmoniformes; Salmonidae
Source: RefSeq, a predicted model, not a curated record